Molecule: ribosomal RNA, 114 nt
Filed under: Prolemur simus (greater bamboo lemur)
Lineage: Eukaryota; Metazoa; Chordata; Mammalia; Primates; Lemuridae
Source: RNAcentral
GUCUACGGCCACACCACCACGAAUGUGCCCGAUCCCGUCUGAUCUCAGAAGCUAAGCGGGGGCGGGCCUGGUUAGUACUUGGAUGGGAGGGUCUCACACAGGACAUCCUUCAUU